UGGAGCAUGUGGUUUAAUUCGAAGCAACGCGAGAACCUUACCAGGUCUUGACAUCCCUGACAACCCAAGAGAUUGGGCGUUCCCCUUCGGGGGACAGGGUGACAGGUGGUGCAUGGGUUGUCGUCAGCUCGUGUCGUGAGAUGUUGGGUUAAGUCCCGCAACGAGCGCAACCCUCGCCUCUAGUUGCCAGCAUUCGGUUGGGCACUCUAGAGGGACUGCCGGCGACAAGUCGGAGGAAGUGGGGAUGACGUCAAAUCAUCAUGCCCCUUAUGACCUGGGCUACACACGUGCUACAAUGGGCGGUACAAAGGGCUGCGAACCCGCGAGGGGGAGCGAAUCCCAAAAAGCCGCUCUCAGUUCGGAUUGCAGGCUGCAACUCGCCUGCAUGAAGCCAGAAUCGCUAGUAAUCGCGGAUCAGCAUGCCGCGGUGAAUACGUUCCCGGGCCUU
Molecule: ribosomal RNA, 448 nt
Filed under: uncultured Geobacillus sp.
Lineage: Bacteria; Bacillati; Bacillota; Bacilli; Caryophanales; Anoxybacillaceae
Description: bacterial SSU rRNA
Rfam family: Bacterial small subunit ribosomal RNA
Source: RNAcentral